Molecule: long non-coding RNA, 1558 nt
Filed under: Crocodylus porosus (Australian saltwater crocodile)
Lineage: Eukaryota; Metazoa; Chordata; Crocodylia; Crocodylidae
Description: lncRNA (ENSCPRG00005009114.1)
Source: RNAcentral
AUGAGGGUGGAAAGGGACCUCAGGAGGUCACGCCUCUCCCUGCGUUUCUCAACCCACGCGGGUUGGGACCUAAAAGCGGGGUGCGAGACUAUAUGCCCCAGUUGUGAACAGACUGGAGAGCCCAGAUCCUCCCUCAAAGGAGGAAACGGUGGGAAACUGUGGGUCACGAAUGCCAGAGGCCGGGGGGCUGCGGCGAGCUUCGGUCGGCGGUGCGAGGAGAGGGCAAGCGCCGAGCGGGGACUGGCGACCCCCCGCAGUUGGGGACCACCCGCAGGCGUCGAGGGUGGUGCGCCGCCACACUCAGGGGGUGCACGCACACCCCUGCACGUCGCCAACGUCCUUGCAGGUGGGCAGAUGUCCGGAGCCUGCGGCCAGCAGGUUACCAAGGGGGUCCUGGUACAACCACAGGUCCAGCCAGGUCUUAAAACGCCUCCAUUUUUUACUUAUUUUUUUUUAAGCUCCCCUCCUCUCCGCCCGCCCGGAUCCAUGUCGUUGCAACCCGCCUCAGGCGCUCUCCGCCACGCACCCGGCGAACCCGAGGCCUCACCCCGCGGCCACCAAAGGCCUCCCCCUGCCCUGCUCCGCCCGCCGGCCCGCCCGCGGCCUCCAUUACCGCGCCGCCAGGCCGGCCUGUGCCAGGGGCGGGACCUUCCGCUGAAGCAACCGUCGCGCGCGUCUUGGCGGCCGUUGACGCGCUUUCUUGAGCCUGCCCCGCGCCCGUACGUGAGCCCGCAAGCGUCCCUCCCCUGCCUGGCCCCGCAGAUCAGGAGGUUGAGGCAUCCCACAGAGCUGUGCCGGAGAGGCACAAAAUGCAAGGGCCACCAGAAGGGUUCAGAUGACGGACAAGUCAUAUCACCUUCCCAGCUGGAAAGUUGUCUUCUGUGAUGGCCUACACUGAUAGAGCACCUAGUUUUACGAUGAUCAAUAUUUCUAACAUACUGAGAUAAGUUGGAAUGGUUUGUCUAGUGCAAUGAAGAGAACGAAGCAACAUAAAGAUAUCAAAUAUAUUCCUUUUAAACAGCCUUUGCUUCUGUUACUAAGGAUAUUUUAGUCUAUCGAUACAAGAAGAUAAAUCAAAUGUAAUGGCUUUUAUAAGUUACCUAGAUGCUUUAAGCCUAUUACUUAGGUCCCAGUUCAGGAAAGUAUCACUUUUUAGGAUACAGUGAAGCAUGUGCUGAAGUGUAUUCCUAAAUUGGAAGUAGAUGAAUGAGUUUCACCCUUUGCUUCCCCUGAUGGAGGACAGUUUUGCUACAUUUUGGUUUGUAACAAGACAGGGCAUACCUAAAUAAUCACAUUGUUUUCCUAGAAACAAAACCAAACCAAACCUUUUAUGAAAACAUUAUGUUCACAUUUACUCUAGUGAAAGCCAUCCUCUUCUCGCAGCCCCUUCAAUUUGAGUGUUCCCAUUGGAGAGACUCUUAGACAUCUGGUUUGGGUGAAAUCCAUGCCCGAUGUAAAUGGUGGCUAUUCCAAUAGCCUAAUAUUUGUGUUAUGACCAUAACGUCAUUAAUGUGCAACCCCGCAAUAAAUCACCACAACUACACCUAUUAUUUGGGCA